This 793-nucleotide unclassified non-coding RNA is filed under the name Leishmania donovani. RNAcentral describes it as "gene:unknown". The record is from RNAcentral. Lineage: Eukaryota; Euglenozoa; Kinetoplastea; Trypanosomatida; Trypanosomatidae.
UGGCGGGCUUCAGCGCACCCUGCGUGUGAGCAGCUCACUGUUUGGCAAGGCGCCGAAGGUCUUGACGACGCUGAAAGUUGCUUGUUUUCUUUUUUCUGCAGUGAGACCACGGCAACUCGGUGACCAGCCUCUAUUUCCAUUUUUCCAAAGGCUGCCUUCAGUGCGCUCGUCGAGCUUUGGGAGGCAACGUUGCGCUUGUCUUUCUGUUUCUGGAGGGUGAGUUUAAGCCUAGUUUCAAGCGUGGUUGUUGCGUUGAAAUCUGUGCUUGUGUCAGCCCUAUGCCACGUUGAUGUCACUUGGAUUUUUGAGGGCGAGGAGGAAAGAGAGGUCGGGGGGUGGAGGAUGGUGAGUGGAGGGAAAGUUCUGUACAAGCGCGCGAUGAAGGUUGUAAAGACUUUCGUGGACGCCUCAAAGUCAUGCAAGGUGCUCUGAAUGCUAUCGGGCGUGCGUAGAAGUGGGUGGGCGUGACUGGCGGGAACAGAAUUUGUUGUGUUUUGGCAGUGCAAACUAGAAGGAGGGCGUGUAGUCACGCGCUCUGGUUCUCGAGCAAAGUCUCAUACCAUAUGCACUGGCUUUAUCGCUGACUCGAGGAUUUGCUGACGAGCGCCUUUCUACAGGCGUAAAGUGCAGCUCUGUACGGUGCUCUCUAGAUUGGAAGGAGGCGUGAGGAACUGAAGCGAGGAUGGGUCGGCAAAUGCAGCUCAGCCCUAGUGAUUUUCUUCUUUUAUUGUGCCGCUACGUCUCUGAAGCGAGAAUGACAUUCGCUGAGGGUGUAAAGUUGAAAACAACAAAC